AUGGGUACCUGUUGCUGCCUGUCCUGGAAGAGGAUGGGUGCCUGUCCUGGAAGAGAAUGGGUACCUGCUCCUGUCUGUCCCAGGAGAGGAUGGGUACCUGCUCCUGCCUGUCCUGGAAGAGGAUGGGUACCUGCUCCUGCCUGUCCCGGAAGAGGAUGGGUACCUGUUGCUGCCUGUCCUGGAAGAGGAUGGGUGCCUGUCCUGGAAGAGAAUGGGUACCUGCUCCUGUCUGUCCCAGGAGAGGAUGGGUACCUGCUCCUGCCUGCCAUGGAAGAGGAUGGGUACCUGCUCCUGUCUGUCCCAGGAGAGGAUGGGUACCUGCUCCUGCCUGCCAUGGAAGAGGAUGGGUACCUGCUCCUGUCUGUCCCAGGAGAGGAUGGGUACCUGCUCCUGCCUGCCAUGGAAGAGGAUGGGUACCUGCUCCUGUCUGUCCCAGGAGAGGAUGGGUACCUGCUCCUGCCUGCCAUGGAAGAGGAUGGGUACCUGCUCCUGUCUGUCCCAGGAGAGGAUGGGUACCUGCUCCUGCCUGUCCUGGAACAGGAUGGGUACCUGUUCCUGCCUGUCCCAGGAGAGGAUGGGUACCUGCUCCUACCUGCUGUGGAAGAGGAUGGGUACAUGCUCCUGCCUGUCCCAGGAGGGCACAGGGAGUCUUGGGGCUGGCGGCAGCAGGAGCACAACUCAGGAAGGCAGGAAAAUGCAGGGGAAACGUCAGAAGGAGCGAUGUACGGGCAGCAGGGUAGGAGGGAAAGCCCUGUCUGGGCAGCCCAGGCUGGCCCUGCAGGGCUGUCUCUGAAAAGCCCAAGGCUGGAUGGCUCCAGGAUGACCCUGGAGCCUGGCUCAGUGCAGGGAGUCACAGGGGAGGCACAGCUCCCUACGAGACAGCCUGGGCUGGCAGGUUCCCGGCGGGGCGAGCUGCAAAGGGAUGCACAGGGAUGGCAGGGGACAGGCAGGGGACAGGCAGGGGAUGGCUCAUCAGCGUCACUCCAUCAAGCCAGGCAAGGCUGGGUGGCAGAGCUUGGUCCUGUCCUGGUGCCGGAGCAGAGAAGCCACCCCCAGCUCCCAGGAUGGGGUUGCUGCACCCUCCCCAGCUGCAGGUCCCAGAUAAAUGGAGACCAGGCCUGGGGCUCCCCUGGCCGCUGGCCCUGA
RNAcentral lists this long non-coding RNA (1146 nucleotides) under Ficedula albicollis (Collared flycatcher). RNAcentral's name for it is "lncRNA (ENSFALG00000026349.1)". Lineage: Eukaryota; Metazoa; Chordata; Aves; Passeriformes; Muscicapidae. The record is from RNAcentral.